GACGAACGCUGGCGGCGUGCUUAACACAUGCAAGUCGAGCGACUGCAUUCUUUUCGGAGGGUGUAUGGAGCGGCGAACGGGUGAGUAACACGUGAGUAAUCUGCCUUUGGCUUGGGAAUAACUUCGGGAAAUCGGGGCUAAUGCCUGAUGUUUACUGUCUGCUGCAUGGUGGGUGGUGGAAAGAUUUUUUGGUCCGGGGA
Molecule: ribosomal RNA, 200 nt
Filed under: uncultured bacterium
Lineage: Bacteria
Description: partial 16S ribosomal RNA
Rfam family: Bacterial small subunit ribosomal RNA
Source: RNAcentral